GUGUAUGAGGUUGAUAAAUACUGGGACUCCUGCAGAUAGAUGGGAAGAAAUGAAAAAUACCUGUUUGUUACCUCUGGAACCAAGAUGAGGGGUAGCGACAGUAAUAAAAUUCAUCGCCACCAGACCAGAUAUUAUAACUAUCUUGAUUAUGUUGGGCAGCUCAUCCACCCUCUUAUCAGCAGAAAACUACCUUCAUUAUCUCGGCGGCUGAUUACAUAUCCUGUCAAGGAUUUUGGGUGCCUUGGUAGCAAUGCUUUCACACAGAUAAAACAUCAUUUCCAACUACAGUUAAAAAUUAAACAAAGUUUCCUCACAUGAUAUUAGUUACCACCCCUGUUCAAUUACACUAUCUCAAACACUAGACUGCAUUUACCACCCCUGUCUAGUCACCACAUGACAACAUUC
Magnolia sinica is the source of this 405-nucleotide long non-coding RNA. RefSeq lists it as uncharacterized. NCBI's taxonomy places the organism in Eukaryota, Viridiplantae, Streptophyta, Magnoliopsida, Magnoliales, Magnoliaceae. The transcript has 2 exons. The record is from RefSeq and is a predicted model, not a curated record.